AGCUAAUAGAUACCCUGGUAGUCCUGGCCCUAAACGAUGAGAACUGGGUAGCGGCCCGGGCAUGGGGUCGCUGCCGCAGCCAAAGUGCUAAGUUCUCCGCCUGGGGAGUAUGGCCGCAAGGCUGAAACUCAAAGGAAUUGACGGGGGCUCACACAAGCGGUGGAGCAUGUGGCUUAAUUCGAGGCUACGCGAAGAACCUUAUCCUAGGCUUGACAUGUCCGAAAGGGGCGAGAAGUAGGACCCGGAAACGGGGACGAACGGUAUCCAGCCCGGAACUUGCCACAGGUGCUGCAUGGCUGUCGUCAGCUCGUGUCGUGAGAUGUCGGGUUAAGUCCCAUAACGAGCGAAACCCUUACCCCCGAGUUGCCAGCGGGUCAGGCCGGGGUACUCUGGGGGGUACUGCCGGUGUCAAACCCGGAGGAAGGUGGGGUAUGACGUCAAGUCCUCAUGGCCUUUAUGCCUAGGGCUGCACACGUGCUACAAUGGCGUGGACAGA
RNAcentral lists this ribosomal RNA (496 nucleotides) under uncultured bacterium. RNAcentral's name for it is "bacterial SSU rRNA". It matches the Rfam family "Bacterial small subunit ribosomal RNA", at positions 767 to 1243 of the family's 1533-position model. The record is from RNAcentral.